RNAcentral lists this ribosomal RNA (706 nucleotides) under Enterobacter cloacae. Its description in RNAcentral is "bacterial SSU rRNA". It matches the Rfam family "Bacterial small subunit ribosomal RNA", at positions 757 to 1463 of the family's 1533-position model. The record is from RNAcentral. Lineage: Bacteria; Pseudomonadati; Pseudomonadota; Gammaproteobacteria; Enterobacterales; Enterobacteriaceae.
AAGCGUGGGGAGCAAACAGGAUUAGAUACCGUGGUAGUCCACGCCGUAAACGAUGUCGAUUUGGAGGUUGUGCCCUUGAGGCGUGGCUUCCGGAGCUAACGCGUUAAAUCGACCGCCUGGGGAGUACGGCCGCAAGGUUAAAACUCAAAUGAAUUGACGGGGGCCCGCACAAGCGGUGGAGCAUGUGGUUUAAUUCGAUGCAACGCGAAGAACCUUACCUGGUCUUGACAUCCACAGAACUUAGCAGAGAUGCUUUGGUGCCUUCGGGAACUGUGAGACAGGUGCUGCAUGGCUGUCGUCAGCUCGUGUUGUGAAAUGUUGGGUUAAGUCCCGCAACGAGCGCAACCCUUAUCCUUUGUUGCCAGCGGUUAGGCCGGGAACUCAAAGGAGACUGCCAGUGAUAAACUGGAGGAAGGUGGGGAUGACGUCAAGUCAUCAUGGCCCUUACGACCAGGGCUACACACGUGCUACAAUGGCGCAUACAAAGAGAAGCGACCUCGCGAGAGCAAGCGGACCUCAUAAAGUGCGUCGUAGUCCGGAUUGGAGUCUGCAACUCGACUCCAUGAAGUCGGAAUCGCUAGUAAUCGUAGAUCAGAAUGCUACGGUGAAUACGUUCCCGGGCCUUGUACACACCGCCCGUCACACCAUGGGAGUGGGUUGCAAAAGAAGUAGGUAGCUUAACCUUCGGGAGGGCGCUUACCACUUU